ACUGAGGAAAGGUGAUUUUGGAAGUGGGAGAUGACCACCACUGACUCAUUGACCGCCUACCCCAGACUCAAAUGAGGGGAAGAACUCUGCCUGCGGACUAACUAGCAUGAAACACAAGAAACAUAACUAGGAAGAGUAGCUCCUCUGAAGUGUGAAAUCCUGCAGCUGCAGCUUUCCUGGGGGAAGGAAGAAAAUGUCCUGUGCUUGAAGCAGCUGCACAGCAUCUCUCAAGAUGAUGGCUGCAAAGAUGAAACCAAAAUCAGGCACCAAUUCCACAUCAGUCUGGAGCAGUGCUCUGGAACCUUGUCCUUGCCUUGUCCCCCACUCUUUCUGCUUCCUCCUGCCCUCAGUUUGUCAGAAGCUGGCUGUGCACUGCCCAUUUGGGGUGCUUACAGGGUACAUACGGGAAAUUAUUUUGAAAGUAGGAUUGCUUUGAUUUUAGCCAGAGACUGCAGAGUAGGUGAGAGUCUCCAAAAGAAAAAGAAAAAAAACCCUAAGCAAAAAAAAAAAAAAAAAAAAAAAAAGCAUUCUUACAAAUUUCCAGCGGUUUUUAUUGUAGGUGGAACUGGUAAUGGAUGUAGCCUGACACUUCUAGCUACAAGGCUCUGAUUUCAUUUGCCUUUAACUUUGUCAGACUCAAAACACUUGGCCUGAACUUCUCCAGGCUGGCUGCACAUCAACCAAAAC
RNAcentral lists this long non-coding RNA (687 nucleotides) under Parus major (Great Tit). RNAcentral's name for it is "lncRNA (ENSPMJG00000003980.1)". The record is from RNAcentral. Lineage: Eukaryota; Metazoa; Chordata; Aves; Passeriformes; Paridae.